GACGAACGCUGGCGGCGUGCCUAAUACAUGCAAGUCGAACGCUGAAGAGAGGAGCUUACUCUUCUUGGAUGAGUUGCGAACGGGUGAGUAACGCGUAGGUAACCUGCCUUGUAGCGGGGGAUAACUAUUGGAAACGAUAGCUAUUACCGCAUAACAAUGGAGGACACUUGUCAUUUAUUUGAAAGGGGCAAUUGCUCCACUACAAGAUGGACCUGCGUUGUAUUAGCUAGUAGGUGAGGUAAUGGCUCACCUAGGCGACGAUACAUAGCCAACCUGAGAGGGUGAUCGGCCACACUGGGACUGAGACACGGCCCAGACUCCUACGGGAGGCAGCAGUAGGGAAUCUUCGGCAAUGGGGGCAACCCUGACCGAGCAACGCCGCGUGAGUGAAGAAGGUUUUCGGAUCGUAAAGUUCUGUUGUAAGUCAAGAACGGGUGUGAGAGUGGAAAGUUCACACUGUGACGGUAGCUUACCAGAAAGGGACGGCUAACUACGUG
RNAcentral lists this ribosomal RNA (497 nucleotides) under uncultured bacterium. Its description in RNAcentral is "partial 16S ribosomal RNA". It matches the Rfam family "Bacterial small subunit ribosomal RNA", at positions 28 to 507 of the family's 1533-position model. The record is from RNAcentral.